AGUGAACGCUGGCGGUAGGCCUAACACAUGCAAGUCGAACGGCAGCACAGUAAGAGCUUGCUCUUACGGGUGGCGAGUGGCGGACGGGUGAGGAAUACAUCGGAAUCUACUUUUUCGUGGGGGAUAACGUAGGGAAACUUACGCUAAUACCGCAUACGACCUACGGGUGAAAGCAGGGGAUCUUCGGACCUUGCGCGAUUGAAUGAGCCGAUGUCGGAUUAGCUAGUUGGCGGGGUAAAGGCCCACCAAGGCGACGAUCCGUAGCUGGUCUGAGAGGAUGAUCAGCCACACUGGAACUGAGACACGGUCCAGACUCCUAGGGGAGGCAGCAGUGGGGAAUAUUGGACAAUGGGCGCAAGCCUGAUCCAGCCAUACCGCGUGGGUGAAGAAGGCCGUCGGGUUGUAAAGCCCUUUUGUUGGGAAAGAAAAGCAGCAGGUUAAUACCCCGCUGUUCUGACGGUACCCAAAGAAUAAGCACCGGCUAACUUCG
Molecule: ribosomal RNA, 490 nt
Filed under: uncultured bacterium
Lineage: Bacteria
Description: partial 16S ribosomal RNA
Rfam family: Bacterial small subunit ribosomal RNA
Source: RNAcentral